RNAcentral lists this long non-coding RNA (300 nucleotides) under Brassica napus (rape). RNAcentral describes it as "long non-coding RNA (BNAP_LNC016094)". Lineage: Eukaryota; Viridiplantae; Streptophyta; Magnoliopsida; Brassicales; Brassicaceae. The record is from RNAcentral.
UGAGGAGGAGAAAUGAAAUUGAGGAUUUAGUGGUUCCAUGGAUCGAUCUGGUUCGGGUUUUGGAAGGGGUUGGUGUUGGAGUGUAUGGGAACGAAGGGUAAGCUCUUCCCAUUGAUCGGGCAGGCAAUGAAAGACGAUUUGGUCGAUGUUGUUGGUGAUGAUUGUGGUGGUGGUCCGCCAUUGUAUCUUCCGAUUGAUCGGGCAGGCAAUGAAAGACGAUUCGGUCGAUGUUGUUGAUGAUUGUGGUGGUGAUCCGCCAUUGUUGAAGCUGGAGUUUGACUCUACUGCUGAGUCGCCGGG